AUUGAACGCCGGCGGCAUGCUUUACACAUGCAAGUCGAACGGUAACAGGUUAAGCUGACGAGUGGCGAACGGGUGAGUAAUGCAUCGGAACGUGCCCGGUCGUGGGGGAUAACGCAGCGAAAGCUGCGCUAAUACCGCAUACGAUCUGAGGAUGAAAGCGGGGGACCGUAAGGCCUCGCGCGAUCGGAGCGGCCGAUGUCAGAUUAGGUAGUUGGUGGGGUAAAGGCCUACCAAGCCGACGAUCUGUAGCUGGUCUGAGAGGACGACCAGCCACACGGGGACUGAGACACGGCCCAGACUCCUACGGGAGGCAGCAGUGGGGAAUUUUGGACAAUGGGCGCAAGCCUGAUCCAGCAAUGCCGCGUGCAGGAAGAAGGCCUUCGGGUUGUAAACUGCUUUUGUACGGAGCGAAAAGGCUCUCUCUAAUACAGGGGGCUCAUGACGGUACCGUAAGAAUAAGCACCGGCUAACUACGUGCCAGCCGCCGCCGUAA
RNAcentral lists this ribosomal RNA (493 nucleotides) under uncultured bacterium. Its description in RNAcentral is "partial 16S ribosomal RNA". It matches the Rfam family "Bacterial small subunit ribosomal RNA", at positions 29 to 523 of the family's 1533-position model. The record is from RNAcentral.